GGCUUCUAUGACAACUGCUUAUGAGAAGAAAUGGAUGUUCUACCUUAGCACCAAAAACACGAUCCUGAAAAAAUAUGAUGGCAGGUUUAAGGACAUUUUCCAGGAGGACUAUGAAGCUGACUGGAAGUCCAAAUUUGAGGCUGCUGGAAUAUGGUAUUAGCAUCGUCUUAUUGAUGACCGAAGG
Molecule: long non-coding RNA, 184 nt
Organism: Zea mays
Lineage: Eukaryota; Viridiplantae; Streptophyta; Magnoliopsida; Poales; Poaceae
Exons: 3
Source: RefSeq, a predicted model, not a curated record